UUUAGUUUCAGUAAGUUUGUUGGUUUCAUAUUGCACAUUUCGUGCAAUAUGAAACUAACAAACUUACUGAAACAAAA
Molecule: non-coding RNA, 77 nt
Organism: Pelobates cultripes (western spadefoot toad)
Lineage: Eukaryota; Metazoa; Chordata; Amphibia; Anura; Pelobatidae
Source: the annotation of a GenBank genome assembly